This 91-nucleotide small nucleolar RNA is filed under the name Mus pahari (shrew mouse). RNAcentral's name for it is "predicted gene, 22947 (MGP_PahariEiJ_G0034204.1)". It matches the Rfam family "Small nucleolar RNA SNORA70". From Rfam's summary of the family: snoRNA U70 seems to be exclusive to mammals and is a member of the H/ACA class of snoRNA which contain H (ANANNA) and ACA box motifs. H/ACA box snoRNAs are involved in the conversion of uridines to pseudouridines (5-ribosyluracil) a constituent of structural RNAs (transfer, ribosomal, small nuclear, and small nucleolar). Lineage: Eukaryota; Metazoa; Chordata; Mammalia; Rodentia; Muridae. The record is from RNAcentral.
CAGCCUUAUGUGGCUACAAACAGCAGCCUCCUUGGGGUUGUGCACAGCCUGUUGCCUACAUGGGUUACGCUAAGAGACCUUGGAGACAACU